This is a long non-coding RNA of Panthera uncia (snow leopard), 1717 nucleotides long. RefSeq lists it as uncharacterized. NCBI's taxonomy places the organism in Eukaryota, Metazoa, Chordata, Mammalia, Carnivora, Felidae. The record is from RefSeq and is a predicted model, not a curated record. The transcript has 2 exons.
CCCGCCCAGAGGCUGGCGAGGCCGGGGGCGGGCCGGGGGCGGGCCUCGCGGCGCGGUCGGGCGGGGUUAAAGGGCCCGGCCGCCGGACGGCGCGGUCAGAACCGAGGUUGCGGUGCGGGCCGAUCUGGAUCCCGGAUCGAGAGGCCGAGGCCGAGGCCGAGACCCGCGAGGUGAGUGCGCGCGGGGGGUGGUAACCCGAGCGCGGCCGGGGCGCUGCGCUGUAACCCGAGGCGCCCGGCAGGCGCGGGUGCUGGCAGCGGGGACGCGAGGGGCUGGGCGCAGCCCGCCUCGGGAAUCCCCACGACCCAGGCGGCGGCGGCGGCGGCGGCGGGUCCCAGAGGCUCCUCCUGGAGGGACGUGGGCGUGUCCCCGACGGCCGCCGCUUUGGGGCGCAGUUGUUUUGAGCGCGCCCCUCGGAGUCCUGGGUACAUCCUUCUCCCCGGGUUUCCGUGAUGGGAAGGGACCUCAGGAACAGCCCCCUCCCCAUCAGGACCUCUCGGGCGGAUCCAGGCCCUGCCCUGUGCCGCAGGGCGGACCGGAGUCACUCCACAGCGUCUCCCUCAGGGACUUUACGCUAGUGAUCCGGCUGCCUUCACCGUCCCUCUCCCCACCCAGGGCAGGCACAGAGCCUGAAAAGAGGAGAUGCCCUCCUGGGCCCCCAGAGUUGGCUGUGAGGGUUGUGUGAGGUCCCGCGGUUGGUACCAGCUGACGUUUGUUGGAUGCCGGAGGGAUGUAUGCUCCCUGGUGUCCAAGGGGCUGGCCCUCCCCGCUUGGACCACGUGAGGCGGCUGAGACCUGCCAACUGGGGAGUCUCAGGCUGGAGGUGGGAGGGAGACAGGGAGACAGUGGGGGAGCUGGGAUUUGAACAAACCGGCCCUGUGUGACCCCAACAUCCUGUGCACUUUCCAAUGGCCCCGGCCUCUCUGCAUAGCCCAGCUUGGGUUUCUGAGCGGUAACAUUAGCCCUGGACUGGUGUCCAGUGGUGACCUGGGUUGGUAUCCACAGAGGGGCUUGGAUGACUCCGCAGACGGAGAAGGCAGCCCCCUCCUGCCUCCCUGGCAAGCCUGGGACCCCAUUCUCCAAAUCCCAGAUGACUGGGCAAGCACUAACGGAUAUGGUGCCAGCCCCAACAGCAAGGAGAGGCACCUUUGAUCGGGGGCUUGCCGUGUGCCAAGCCCUGAGCUGAGCACAUUAAAAAUGUGGCAUUGUUAUCAAAGCCCUGUGAAGUGGGUAAUAUAGUUCCUGUCUUACAUGUGAGGAAAUUGAGGCUCAGAGAGGUGCAGACAUUCACCUGAGGUCACACAGCUCUGAGGUGGAGCUUUGUGGAAUCCUUUCCGAGGCUCGUGUCCAAGUGCUGAGAUGGUGGGCAGAGGCAAUUGCAGUUCUGGGAUGGUCUAGAUUACUGGUGGUUUGUAAACUUCUUUUUCUGUCAGGAUCUCCUUUGGGCCGAGGAAGCUGUGGGCGACAGCCUACAGUGUGCCCACAGCUGCGGUGAGGCCCUCCUUCCCACCUCGAUUUGCCAGCUUGGCUCUGCCCUCAGAACUGCUCCUGCAGCCCCUUCUCCGAACCCCAGAAAUCUGGGGUAAUCUCUACACCCAACGUGGGGCUCAAACUCACAACCCUGAGAUCAAGAGUCGCAUGCUCUACCCACUGAGCUGGCCAGGCAACCCUCAAACAAUUAACUUUUUUAUUUAUUAAAAAAAUUGUUUUAAAUGUU